UCUAACGUUAAUAUAAUGUUAGUUUUCUAACGUUAAUGUAAUGUUAGUUUUAUGUCAUAAUUUUAACCGUUAAUUUAACGUUAGUUUUCUAACGUAAAUCUAAUGUUAAUUUUAUAACAUAAAUCUAACUUUAGUUUUCUAACAUAAAUCUAACGUUAGUUUUCUAACAUAUACCUGAUAUUAGUUGUAAAACGUAAAACAAAUGUCAGUUUAAUGUCAUGAUACUAACAAUUAAGGGCCUGACAAGACAGCUGUCUAGUCAUUAAAAUGGGUAAGACCCUGGCUCGCUAGCCUGGAGGUCGGGUGUUCGAUCCCUGCAUUGGCCGAGAAAGUUCAUCCAGAUUUCCGGCGUGGUUUCCCCUUGUCAGUGAUGCAGGACGGAGAGCCUGACAAGGACAGCUGUCUAGUUGUUCAGAUGGGAUAAAAAAAAAACGAGGUCCUGUGUACACAUUGGCAUGCAUGUAAAAGGUCCCUUGACAGUUGGAAUUCGAUAUAAGAGUAGGCCGUAGUGCCACUGUCGGGGCAAAAUUUCCCUCAUAACACACUGUAUGGUGUAUAUGGCCAUCUUCAUUAGCCCAGUUCGGAGCAGAACAGUUGGACGUUAAACCCCAUUUCAUUUCAUUACAUUUUGUAUCCAUUUCUAAGUGCCCAAGAAUAGAGAUCUAGCUCCUUUAAUAGUUGCGGUCUCUAGGUGACACACAAAGAGAAAACGAAUGAAUGAAUGAUCUACUCUCAUUUCAAAUUCCAAAUGUCAAGGGUUCUUUUACGUGCACACCCACGUGAUGGACUAGACACUGUUUUUUUGAGGUCCUCUGUCCUACACCACUACUAACAAAGGGAACUUUCUCGACCAACAUGGGGAUCACGUUGGCUAAGUGGGUAAGACGCUGACUCGCUAGCCUGGAGGUCGGGUGUUCGAUCCCUGCAUUGGCUGAGAAAGUUCAUCCAGAUUUUUCUGCGUGUUUUCCCCUUGUCAGUGAUACAGGACGGAGGGCCUGACAAGAACAGCUGUCUAGUCAGGGAUGAAAAACUGAGGUCACGUGUACACACAGGAGUGCACAUGAAAGAUCCCUUGGUAGUUGGAACUUGAUAUAAGAGUAGGCCAUAGCGCCGCUGCCUGGGCAAAAUUUCCUUCAUAGCAUACUGUAUGGCAUAUGCUCAUCUUCAUUAGCUCAGUUUAGGAGCAGAACCCCUCAUUUGCUAGCCAGUGUGUUACUAAUUACUAGAGAGAGAGAGAGAGAGAAAUGGGGUUUAACGUCUACUCGACACAAACUAGGUCAUUUCGGGACUAACAUAUGGUUUAAUUUUUAUUUACAUAAUUCGCUUGCGCGUAGGGGUCUUUAGCAGUGGGAGAAAACCGGAGGUUGGACAGGCGACCCUACUCCUUGUCACGUACAACCGGGGAUUCGAAACCACGCCAGUCAACUCAAUGACAGACUUUAUGAUACAGCGCCCGCACGCUAACCAUUCAGCCAUCCAACCCCCCGUUACUAAUUACUAAGUUUGUGAAAUGUAGGUUUUUCCUCCUGUAGGUUUGUCCUGAUGAAAUCGGUUUAUUGUCCUACUGUUCUGCUCCGACUGGGCUAAUGAAGACAGGUACAUACCAUACAAUGUGCUAUGAGGGAAAUUUUGUCUACUAAUAUCGAAUCCAACUGCCAAGGGAUCUUUUCGUGCAAGCCAAUGUAUACAUGGUACCUCGGUUUUUUGUCCCAUCUGAGUGACUAGACUACUGUCCUUGUUCCUGCACCUCUGACAAGGGGAAACCAUGUCGGAAAAUCCUGAUGAACUUUCUCCACCAAUGCAGGGAUCGAACACGUGCCCUCCGGAUUACCGAGCCAGCAUCUUACGCACUUAGCCACCAUGGCUUUAUCAAAAUUAGUAAUGAAGAUGUGCUAUGACAGAAAUUUUGCCUGGACAGCAGCAUUACCGCACUUACUAAUGAAGAAGUGCUAGGAAAGACAUUUUGCCUGGAGAGCAGCAUUUCCACAUAUAGUCAUUACCAAUAGUUCUAAGUGCACGCCAACCUGUAAAACAUGUCUUUACACACUUUUCCAUCAUUACCAAUUACUAGUCUGCGGGUUCACUAGUCUGUGGGUGCACUAAUCCGUGCAUUCACUAGUCCACUAGUCUGACUCUAUAAAAUACUAUAAAUAUGAGUAUUAAAGAAACCCAGUAGAUAUGGUGACUGAUAUCACCCUUCGUAAGGCGAUAACCCAACAUCACGGCAUUUUAACCCGAAAUCACAACAUUUUAACCAUUAUAGCAUAUGCCCUUCUUCAUUAGCCCACUUGGAACAAAAUAGUAGGAUGUUCAAACCCCAUUUAAAAUUCAUUUUUAUACUUUUCUGAACCAAUCGGACUAUUGAAGAUAGUCAUACGCAAUGCAGAGUGCUAUGACGGAAAUUUUCUAUGGACUGUGGCAGGGCGGAGGAUCUGGCAAGGGAUAAGGUAUAGUUGUUCGGGUCAUACGAAAAAUCAAGUCCUCGUGUACAUAUUGGCAUGCACGUAAAAGACACUCCGACAGUUGUAAUUCAAUAUCAGAGUAGGCCAUAGUGCCGCUAUCCGUGCAAAGUUUCCGUCAUAGUACACUGUAUAUAGUGUAUGCCUGUCUUCAUUAGCUCACUCAGAGCAAAACAGUAGGAUGUUUAAUCUCAUUUAAUUUUAUUUAAUUUUCCUACUUUUCUGCACCAAUGGGACUAUAAAAGAUAGGCUGGCAAGCGGACGAGUGCACCCAUUGACUAUUGAGCAUCAUUUACUUGAAAACGUUGAGAGAACCCUCAACGAAAUGUCGCUUUAAUUAAAAUAGUAAUUGUGUUUUUUGUUGUAUCAUCGAGUCAAGUGAACGUUAAACCCCAUUUCUCUCUCUCUCAAUUUUGAUACCCAUAAAUUUGACAAAACAAAUAAUGAUUGUCGGAAACUGUUUCAUAAAGCAAAGUUGUUCUCUACUAAAAGGUUAUCACUGUCCAAAUGUUAGGAGUAGUCCACACCUAGGCCGACUAUGCAUGAAGUGUUUUUAUAAUUAAAUUUAUUAAAUAUAGUACCUUGCAUCAGUAAAUAUAAAAUUAAUGAUCCUUUCACCAGUAAAUAUAAAUUAAAAUUACCCGAUUUGAUUAUUCUUUUAAUAUAACGUAAUCAUGUAACCUCAUAUAAAAUAUGGUAGAGCGUAUACAAACAAAUAAUAUGAAUAGAUUCAUUAUCAGAAAUAUUACAGGCCUUUCAAACGAACAGUCGCCAUUUUUAGACCUAAAUACAUGUAGAUGUACAAAUAUAUUUUUAUCGUCUCGGGCAAGGUCAAGGUCACGAUCUGUUCACUGUUGAUGAUUGUGUUUAAAUCGGUUUAUAUCAUAUUAUUUCUAUUCACAUUACAAUAUUUUUUUUAUAGGUUACGGUUAUUGUUGUUAUUUAUCAAAAUUGCUUCAAUUAUUUAUUAAAUAUUUUUUGUUUGUUCGUUUGACCGGAACGUACGGAAUUCUGGGAUUUAAAAUGGCGGCAUAGGUAAUUAUUUUUCCCAAAGAAGAAAUGAUGCCGUGAUUUAAAGUUAAAUAAAGCUAUUCCACACAUACACACACGAUUUUGGAUUCAGCAAAGUAAAGUUGAAGAUCCUACAUGUAUAUUUGAGCACCCGUGGUGGCAGUAAUGACAAAGAAGUUCUAAAAAGAUUUAUAUGGGCUUUAUAAUGAAAGUUAGACAACACUACUACUUGCCAAACACUACUACUUGUCACAUAAUGUAAUGAUAUAAAUAUAUAUGUAUCUAUGGUAGCACAAAUAUCAUCAGAAUGUAGGCCAAAGCUUUACAAGCAUUGUAGGCCUAAAAUACUUUCUGUCUGAACUUUUGACAGUCAAUUCUUUGAUGACUAGUUAGUUUAGAGCAGAUAUCCUGUCACAGUAUUAUAUAACAGCUCUUUGGCUUAAAAUUUAAACUGAGUUGUAUCAGUGAGUUGAAAAUCAUCUGUGUUCCUGUUAUUGCUCCCUGCUGCAGCCAGUAAACAAUAACCUUUUGCGUUCCUUACAAAUCUUCCAAUUUUUACUGAUAGAUCAACCAUAGCAAAGAUCUCUAUUAAGAUUAUAUUUGUAAUGUGUGUAACAAAUUCUAUGACAUAGGUAUAAUAUUGGUGUAGUUAAGUAUAUACCAUAUUUAUGCACACAUUUCAAUAUUGGCAUAUUAUUAGUCUCUAUCAUCUAGAAAAAAAUAUUCUAUAUUCUACGAAUAUUAGUGUGGUUGCGUUGUCAACAUUUGAGAAUAAUCGGUCAUAGGCUAGAUUAUCCGGUCUUUUACAUUAUCAUAAACAAAGUCUAAGGGAGGUAACUAGUCCUAAAACAAGAUGUUGACGCCCAUGAAAUUUAUAUAAGAAUGCCAUUUCCGAAAAUCCAUUUGAUUGCAUUGUCAGUUCAAUAUCCAACACUCUUAAUUUUUUUUAUUGAAAAAUUUCUCUCUUCAUGGGCCAUAUCUAUGUUUUUUUUUUUAUUGAAUCCUAAUUCGUCAUCACUAUUCAUGUUUGUUUAUAAAUGCAAGUGUUAUUGACAACUGUCCCAGACCCUCAUUAUUUAUAUGGCCCAACUUUUCUUCGGGGUACACCGGCACGGUAUUAGACUAGGAUAAACAUUAGUCUUAUAUACCGCCUCUACUUAAUUAUGGAUGUAGGUCGGAAAAAUGUAAAAUUUGGCAAUUUGACUUAUACUCAACAUCGACUUAUGCUAUAACUGUUUCAAAUGACAAGUGCUAAAUGAAGUAUUUAUGCGGUCUUUGGUGAAAGAAAUGAAAUGAAAUGGGGUUUAACGUCCUACUGUUCUGCUCCUAACCUGGGCUAAUGAAGACGAGCAUAUGCCAUACAGUGUGCUAUGAGGGAAAUUUUGCCUGGGCAGCGGGGCUACGGCCUACUCUUAUAUCGAAUUCCAACUGCCAAGGGAUCUUUUACGUGCACGCCAAUGUCUACACGGAACCCCGUUUUUUUGUCCCAUAACGACUAGACAGCUGUCCUUGUCAGUCCCUCUGUCCUGCAUCACUGACAAGGGAAACCACGCCGGAAAAUCAGGAUGAACUUUCUCGGCCAAUACAGGGAUCAAACACCCGACCUCCAGGCUAGCGAGCCAGCGUCUCACCCACUUAGCCACUUGAUCCCCCCCUUUGGUGAAAAAGAGAGAGAGAGAAAUGGGGUUUACUGUCAACUGGACACAAACUAGGUCAUUUCGGGACUAACAUGGUUUAAUUUUUCAUUUACAUAAUUCGCUUGCGCGUAGGGGUCUUUAGCAGGGGGAGGACACCGGACGACCCGGAGAAAACCCACGAGGUUGGACAGGCGACCCUACUCCUUGCCACGUACAACCGGGGAUUCGAAACCACGCCAGUCGACUCAAUGACAGACUUUAUGAUACAGCGCGCGCUAACCAUUCAGCCAUCCACCCCCCCCCCCCCCUUUGGUGAAAGAAAACAGAGCUGUGGCUAGUGAAAUGAAAGUUUAACGUCCUACUGUUUUGCUCUGAACUGGGCUAAUGAAGAUGGGCAUACGCCAUACAGUGUGCUAUGUGGGAAAUUUUGCCCGGACAGUGGCACUACGGCCUUCUCUUAUAUCGAAUUCUAAUUUCAAGGGCUCUUGUACGUGCACGCCAAUGUGUACAUGGGACCUCAUUUUUUUGUCCCAUUUUAAUGACUAGAUAGCUGUCUUGUCUAGCCCUCUGUCCUGCAUCACUGACAAGGGAGAACCACGCCGGAAAAUCUGGAGUAACUUUCUCGGCCAAUGCAAGGAUCGAACACCCGACCUCCAGACUAGAUAGCCAGUGUCUUACCGACUUAACCAACGUGAUCCCCGUUGUGGCUACAAUUCCUGGAUUUGAAGGUCAGGUAUGAUAUGAAACGAAUAUUUUGAACCGGUUCACCAAUGCAACCAAUCUGUGACGGGUUAACCGAUAGAGGGUUACAUCCUUGAUAUAAAUAUACUUGUCGCAGGUUUUAAAAAUAGAAAGAUAUAUAUAAAGGUAGCUCAAAAUUCAUCUCUACAUAUACAUAGGCCAAGGGGGGAUCAUGUGGCUAAGUGGGUAAGACGCUGACUCGCUAGCCUUGAGGUCGGGUGUUCGAUCCCUGCAUUGGCCGAGAAAGUUCAUCCUGAUUUUCCGGUGUGGUUUCUCAUUGUCAGUGAUGCAGGACGGAGGGCCUGACGAGGACAGCUGUCUAGUCGUUUGGAUGGGACAAAAAAAACAAGGUCCAGUGUACACAUUGGCAGUUGGAAUUCGAUACAAGAGUAGGCCAUAGCGCUGCUGCCUGGGCAAAAUUUCCCUCAUAGCACACUGUAUGGCGUAACCUUUUGCGUCUCUUCAAAAUAUUUCAAAUCUUUUGUCAUGGAUCAACCAUUGCAAAUAUCCGUGUUACAAUUAUAUUUGAAAUGUGUUAAACCAAUUCUGCAACACAUGUAAUAUUGGUGUAGUAUAUAUCUUUGUAUAUACACCCACAUAUCAAUUUUGGCCCUGUUUGUCCGUACACUGGGUGUGAAAUGUGAAUCAUUCCGAUUGUGAGAGGACAAGCAUUAUCAAUAUACAGCUUUUCAGGACUUUGCCUUCCUUGGUUAAUUCUCCUUUUUUCAAAUGCAAUAGAUGCUGUGUUUAUUCUUAAUUGAUCUUUUUCAAAUUUGUGUUACACACUGGAAUCAUGAGAGGACAAAACCUAUCAAUAUUCAGUAUUCCACAACAUUCCAUUCCAGUGUCGGCCGAGAAAAUUCUUCGUGAUUUCCAGACUUGGUUUCCUCCCCUUGUCAGAGGUGCAGGACAGAGGGCCUGACAAGGAGGGACAGCUGUCUAGUCGUUUGGAAGGUACGAAUGACCGAGGUCCUGUGCACACAUUGGUUCGCACGUGAAAGAUCCCUUGGCAGUUUGAAUUCGAUAUAAGAGUAGGCUUUAGCGCCACUGUCUGGAAAAAAUUCCAUAAUAGGACACUGUAUAGCAUAUUUCCAUGUCAUUAGCCCUGUCGGAAUAGGACAUUAAACCCCAUUUCAUUUCACUCAUUCCAAAGUUAACUCCUAUUCCAUCAAUACCUUGAGCAAAUAAGAUAGAGGCUAUAGGUUUUGGCCCAAUUUGGUCAAUAUCCCAGUUUUUUCUUUCUUAUAUGCAUAUCAACACUUUCAUAGCGCUAAUGUAGACCUUUUUCUUGAACAUUUUCCCUUGUCAGUGAUGCCGGACAGAGGACCUGACAUGGAUGGCUGACUAGUCAUACGGAAGGGACAAAAAAAACCCAAGGUACAGUGUAAACUCAAGUGUGUGUGUGUGAAAGAUCCCUUGGCAGUUGGAAUUUUAUAUAAGAGUACGCCAUAGCUCUGCACACUGUGUGGCAUAUGCCCGUCUUCAUUUCUCAAACAGCUGUGGAUAAAAACUGUUAAUAUUUAAAUGUGUAUUUUGUAUUUUAUAACAUUAUAUUUUUGUCUUUUAAAUAAAGUAUAUGUAUACAUA
Long non-coding RNA from Patella vulgata (common limpet), 7435 nucleotides. RefSeq lists it as uncharacterized. The transcript is spliced from 2 exons. NCBI's taxonomy places the organism in Eukaryota, Metazoa, Mollusca, Gastropoda, Patellidae. The record is from RefSeq and is a predicted model, not a curated record.